This 950-nucleotide long non-coding RNA is filed under the name Triticum aestivum (bread wheat). RNAcentral's name for it is "long non-coding RNA (TAES_LNC020362)". Lineage: Eukaryota; Viridiplantae; Streptophyta; Magnoliopsida; Poales; Poaceae. The record is from RNAcentral.
UUGCAUAACACCUUGAUUUAUGUUAUUUAGCUGAAUUUUUUUUAUACUGAUGGUUUGUUCUUAUCAAUUUCGAGAUAAGGUAAUGUAUCUAAUUAGGAAAAUUACACACGAUGAACCACACCAUCAAAGUCUGACAAUGUGAAUCCAACAUAUCCUGAAAGGCUCCUUCAGCUGCUGCUCCAUUUGAAUUAUGGGGCAGCAAGACAACGACAUAUCAUUGAAAAGUCAUAAGAUUCUUUGUUGGCAGCAAUGGCUGAUUCAAUGGUCAUUGGUUCCAUGACUCAAAUGACCUGUUGUUAUCAUCAUGAUGUACGAUUGGAUAAAUAAUUGAGGGGCAAGAUUGAGCGAGCCAGCUGCCUCCAUGUGGUGAAAUCUCAUAGCCUACAAGUGAAACCAUCGCUUGGUUAUCAAGUAAUCAACCAAAAGCACACUGGUAAGAAGUCUCAUUCAUUCAUUAAGGUGGCAUGCGUAUCCAUCUAAAUGACUUCAUGGUUCAUAUCUUAGCAUUUUUUUGUGUGAUUCUCUCUGGUUCAGAUUUUCAGAUCCUUCUUCAAAACAGAACAUCUGAAUGAACAGUCUUUUUUUUAAUAAGAAUGUUGCACGUUAAUUUCUGCAACUACAUAAAUUACUUUUGGUAAAUAAUCACCUACAAGUUGUUGAAAUAACCACUUGAAAGAUAAACAACCACCCCUAAAGGUCUAAACAAGUUUUUAGGCAUGACGUAAACAAAGGCUUCAGUGAGUAUCAUUUAAAGUUGAUGUGAAUGGCACUUGGAUUCAAACAUAACCGCCUUGAUUUAUGCUAUUUAACUGACAUUUUUUAUACCAGUGGUCUGUUCUUAUCAAUUUUGAUUUGAGAUGAUGUACCUAAUUUUGAGGUGAGAUGGUGUAUACCAUUCAAGUCAGACAACGUGAAUCCAACAUUUCCUGGAAGGUGUCCUUCAGCUGCUC